AUGGAACAACGAGACCUCCGUCGUUCCGCGGCCGCCGCCGCGCCUUACUAUCCAAUCAAGAAAGAGAGUCAUUGUUUCUCAAAGAGAAAGAAAGAUCACCAUCACCAAGUCAGCGGCGGCAUAACGGCGUCUAUGCCCGACGACGUGCUCGCCGACAUCUUCACCCGGUUGCCGGACAUGGCCACCCUUGUCCGCUGCGCCGCCACAUGCUGGCGCUGGGGCCACCUCGUGGCCACCAGGGCAGCGGUCAUCUCCCCCUGCNNNNNNNNNNGCACAAGGGACGCGCCAUCGCCGCGGCCGUGUUUUAUCGCAACGGCCUCAUGCACACGUUUCAUCCGUGGUGAUAGCCAGAGGUCUUUAGCUAUCUUGGGACUAGAUGGAGGCGACCGGCUUCUGGACCACUCCCGUCCCGUUGCAUCCCGGAAUGGCCGCCUCGUCCUUGAGCUCCGGUGCAACCCGCGCCAGGAUUGUGCAUCUGAUGGCCUCUCGCUCGCCAUCUGCAACCCGAUGAUGCUUGACAAAAUCGAUGUCAUCCCGCCUUUGGUCUUAGUAGGCCAGAACACUACAACGAUACUGGACUACGGCUGCGCGUUGCUCACCGGCCACGAUCUCAACCCUCAGUGCCACCAAGAUUUCUUCCACAUUCUGCUCAUCUACAGCCACAAUCAUCCUGGCGGGCAGUCCACGGUGCUCCGAUGCUACUCCUCGGAUACGGGGCGCUGGGGACCAGAGACUGAAUCCAUUGUCAAGAUCCCCAUCUCCAAGAUAGGCAAUAUCGGGCCCGCUGUGGUACGCCGCGGGGUGGCAUUCUGGGCUCUCGAACAGGGUGUGCUCGGGGUGCGCCUCGAUUUGAAGGACCACACCAUGGACAUGCACAUGGUGCCUUGCGACACCUCACACGCGGGUCCAAACAACCGACUCAUGGGCGUCUCACCGGACAACCGGCUCUUCUUAAUGUAUUAUUGUUUCAUGGGAGCGCGGUUGGGGAAGCUUGUGUUGAAGCUAACCUAUCUCGAGUUUCCCAAUGAAGAUGACAUGCAAACCGACAAGAUAUGUAGAAAACGCAAAAUUGUGUUGAUGGAGCAGAUGGGGAAACUGAUGAUGGUGGUGACUCGCUAUGUCCACACAAUCAAGUUGUGGUGGUUUGGCGAGAAGAGCGGCAUCCUGUUGUUCACAAUGGGAGAAGGGAGCGGGCAACCUGGCACCUACAUGUUGAAACUUGAGGAGAAUGCCGUUGAUAAGUUGGCCGAUGAUGGUCACUUAUGA
This 1266-nucleotide ribosomal RNA is filed under the name Triticum aestivum (bread wheat). RNAcentral describes it as "partial small subunit ribosomal RNA". Lineage: Eukaryota; Viridiplantae; Streptophyta; Magnoliopsida; Poales; Poaceae. The record is from RNAcentral.